CACGUAGGAGGCAAACGUUAUCCGGAUUUACUGGGCGUAAAGCGCGUGCAGGCUGUUCAAUAAGUUGGGCGUGAAAGCUCCCGGCUCAACUGGGAGAGGUCGUUCAAUACUGUUGGACUAGAGGAUGGUAGAGGAAGGUGGAAUUCCGGGUGUAGUGGUGAAAUUCGUAGAUAUUGGGAAGAACACCGGUGGCGAAGGCGGCCUUCUGGACCAUUCCUGACGCUCAGACG
This 230-nucleotide ribosomal RNA is filed under the name uncultured microorganism. Its description in RNAcentral is "partial 16S ribosomal RNA". It matches the Rfam family "Bacterial small subunit ribosomal RNA", at positions 524 to 753 of the family's 1533-position model. The record is from RNAcentral.